UACGUAGGGGCCAAGCGUUGUCCGGAUUUAUUGGGCGUAAAGAGCUCGUAGGCGGUUCGGCAAGUCAGCUGUGAAAUCUCCACGCUCAACGUGGAGGGGUCAGCUGAUACUGCUGUGACUCGAGUCCGGUAGGGGAGUGUGGAAUUCCCGGUGUGAGCGGUGAAAUGCGCAGAUAUCGGGAGGAACACCAGUAGCGAAGGCGGCACUCUGGGCCGGUACUGACGCUGAGGAGCGAAAGCGUGGGGAGCAAACAGG
This 255-nucleotide ribosomal RNA is filed under the name uncultured bacterium. RNAcentral describes it as "partial 16S ribosomal RNA". It matches the Rfam family "Bacterial small subunit ribosomal RNA", at positions 524 to 776 of the family's 1533-position model. The record is from RNAcentral.